GUUGAUGUAGCUUACAAUAAAGCAAAGCACUGAAAAUGCUUAGAUGGAUUGUUAAAAAUCCCAUAAACA
This 69-nucleotide transfer RNA is filed under the name Rattus villosissimus (long-haired rat). Its description in RNAcentral is "tRNA-Phe". It matches the Rfam family "tRNA". Rfam says of the family: Transfer RNA (tRNA) molecules are approximately 80 nucleotides in length. Their secondary structure includes four short double-helical elements and three loops (D, anti-codon, and T loops). The record is from RNAcentral. Lineage: Eukaryota; Metazoa; Chordata; Mammalia; Rodentia; Muridae.